Molecule: ribosomal RNA, 462 nt
Filed under: uncultured Actinomyces sp.
Lineage: Bacteria; Bacillati; Actinomycetota; Actinomycetes; Actinomycetales; Actinomycetaceae
Description: bacterial SSU rRNA
Rfam family: Bacterial small subunit ribosomal RNA
Source: RNAcentral
CCUACGGGAGGCAGCAGUGGGGAAUAUUGCACAAUGGGCGAAAGCCUGAUGCAGCAACGCCGCGUGAGGGAUGGAGGCCUUCGGGUUGUGAACCUCUUUCGCCAGUGAAGCAGGCCCGCCCCUUGUGUGGGUGGGUUGACGGUAGCUGGAUAAGAAGCGCCGGCUAACUACGUGCCAGCAGCCGCGGUAAUACGUAGGGCGCGAGCGUUGUCCGGAAUUAUUGGGCGUAAAGGGCUUGUAGGCGGCUGGUCGCGUCUGCCGUGAAAUCCCCUGGCUUAACUGGGGGCGUGCGGUGGGUACGGGCCGGCUUGAGUGCGGUAGGGGAGACUGGAAUUCCUGGUGUAGCGGUGGAAUGCGCAGAUAUCAGGAGGAACACCGGUGGCGAAGGCGGGUCUCUGGGCCGUUACUGACGCUGAGGAGCGAAAGCGUGGGGAGCGAACAGGAUUAGAUACCCUGGUAGUC